Molecule: long non-coding RNA, 775 nt
Organism: Betta splendens (Siamese fighting fish)
Lineage: Eukaryota; Metazoa; Chordata; Actinopteri; Anabantiformes; Osphronemidae
Exons: 4
Source: RefSeq, a predicted model, not a curated record
GCGAAGCGUCCUCUUUAAAUGACUGUGGUGGAACUAGCUGUGCUUACUAAUUGAGUCACUGCUCAGAGGGAACUAAUGGAGAAGGGAAAAGGAGGAAAAAAAGGGGGGAGAAUCUCUGUUCAUAAACAGUGUUUACUUAAAGCACCCCAUUGCCUUAUUAGUAUUAAUAGCAGUGACUUCAGAAAGCUCAUAUUCUGCCAUUGGACAGUUUUGUAUUAUUUAUGAUUGAAAUGAAAGCCUGGGAGUGCAACAGCAUGGUGGAGCGCUGCAUAGCAAACGAAGUUGCCUGUGCCAGUUUACAUAACCAACACUUGGGUAAACAGCGGAUUAAAAGCAGCAAGGGGGCAGGAGAAAAACGAGAGCAAAAUGUUAUAUCCACACAUUAAGACUUUUGGAGGCAGGCGUUUGGAGGACGCUGGGAGAACACCGCGGCCCCCGUUUGAUGCAGCUGGUCUUCAUCUGCCAGUCCUUUUGAGCACGAGAGCGAGGCAGUAGGAUGGCGUGUGGAGCCUGAAGACAGGGGAUGCGGGAUGCUAACUGCUGAGCUUCCUUUGAGCAUGACACGGGAUCUCUAACCAGGAGCAGCCACCAUCUUGAAAAAUGAUUUUCACGUCGACUCCCAACCAAACUCCUCAACUUCAGUAUUAACAGGUUUUUGAGCGGGUCCGUACUCUGUUAGAGUCGACUCGAGACCUGGUUGUAUAUGACGGAGGAGCCGCGCUGAAGCCUCGAGGCACCAGGUACUCAUCAGCGUCCAUCAAGUCAUCGAGGUCCU